This 374-nucleotide ribosomal RNA is filed under the name Nematoda sp. Its description in RNAcentral is "SSU rRNA". It matches the Rfam family "Eukaryotic small subunit ribosomal RNA", at positions 252 to 626 of the family's 1831-position model. Lineage: Eukaryota; Metazoa; Nematoda. The record is from RNAcentral.
CUGAAUAACUCCGCAGAUCGUAUGGUCUAGCACCGACGACAUAUCUUUCAAGUGUCUGCCUUAUCAACUUUCGAUGGUAGUUUAUGUGACUACCAUGGUUGUAACGGGUAACGGAGAAUUAGGGUUUGACUCCGGAGAGGGAGCCUGAGAAACGGCUACCACAUCCAAGGAAGGCAGCAGGCGCGCAAAUUACCCACUCUCGGCAUGAGGAGGUAGUGACGAAAAAUAACGAGACAGUUCUCUUUGAGGUCUGUCAUCGGAAUGGGUACAACCCAAACCCUUUAACGAGGAUCUAUUGGAGGGCAAGUCUGGUGCCAGCAGCCGCGGUAAUUCCAGCUCCAAUAGCGUAUAUUAAAGUUGUUGCGGUUAAAAAG